CCCCACAGAGCCCCAUAGAACCCCAUAGAGACCCCACAGAGCCCCACAGAGCCCCAUAGAACCCCACAGCCCCCACAGAGCCUCAUAGGGCCCCACAGAACCCCACAAGGCCCCACAGAACCCCACAGAGCCCCAUAGAGACCCCAUAGAACCCCACAGAGCCACAUAGAGCCCCAUAGAGACCCCAUAGAGCCCCACAGAGCCCCAUAGAGACCCCAUAGAGACCCACAGAGCCCCACAGAGCCCCAUAGAGACCCCAUAGAACCCCACAGAGCCCCAUAGAGACCCCACAGAGCCCCAUAGGGCCCCACAGAGCCCCAUAGAACCCCACAGAGACCCAUAGAGACCCCAUAGAAGCCCACAGAGCCCCACAGAGACCCAUAGAGACCCCAUAGAGACCCCAUAGAACCCCACAGAGCCCCAUAGACACCCCACAGAGCCCCAUAGAGACCCCAUAGAACCCUACAGAGCUCCACAGAGCCCCAUAGAACCCCACAGAGCCCCAUAGAGACCCCAUAGAAGCCCAUAGAACCCCACAGAGCCCCAUAGAGACCCCAUAGAACCCCACAGAGCCCCAUAGAGACCCCACAGAGCCCCAUAGAGACCCCAUAGAGACACAUAGAGACCCCAUAGAACCCCACAGAGCCCCAUAGGGACCCCACAGAGACCCCACAGCCCCCACAGAGCCCCACAGAGCCCCAUAGAGACCCCACAGAGCCCCAUAGAGCCCCAUAGAGACCCCAUAGAGACUCCAUAGAACCCCACAGAGCCCCAUAGAGACUCCAUAGAACCCCACAGAGCCCCAUAGAAUUCCACAGAGACCCCACAGAGCCCCACAGAGACCCCACAGAGCCCCAUAGACACCCCACAGAGCCCCAUAGAGACCCCAUAGAGCCCCACAGAGCCCCAUAGAACCCCACAGAGCCCCAUAGAGCCCCAUAGAGACCCCAUAGAGACCCCACAGAGCCCCAUAGAGACCCCAUUGAACCGCACAGAGCCCCAUAGAGACCCCAUAGAGACCCCACAGAGCCCCAUAGAGCCCCAUAGAGACUCCAUAGAACCCCACAGAGCCCCAUAGGGACUCCACAGAGACCCCACAGCCCCCACAGAGCCCCACAGACACCCAUAGAGACCCCACAGAGCCCCAUAGAGACCCCAUAGAACCCCACAGAGCCACAUAGAGCCCCAUAGAGACCCCAUAGAGACCCCAUAGAGACCCCACAGAGCCCCAUAGAGACCCCAUAGAACCCCACAGAGACACAUAGAGCCCCACAGAGCCCCACAGAGACCCCACAGAGCCCCAUAGAGCUUCACAGAACCCCACAGAGACACAUAGAGCCCCACAGAGCCCCACAGAGACCCCACAGAGCCCCAUAGAGCUUCACAGAACCCCACAGAGCCCCAUAGACACCCCACAGAGCCCCAUAGAGACCCCAUAGAACCCUACAGAGCUCCACAGAGCCCCAUAGAACCCCACAGAGCCCCAUAGAGACCCUACAGAGCCCCAUAGAGACCCCAUAGAGACCUCACAGCCCCCACAGAGCCCCAUAGAACCCCACACAGCCCCAUAGAGACACACAGAGCCCCAUAGAACCCCAUAGAGACCCCAUAGAACCCCACAGAGCCCCACAGAGCCCCAUAGAGACCCCACAGAGACCC
This 1659-nucleotide long non-coding RNA is filed under the name Gallus gallus (chicken). RNAcentral describes it as "lncRNA (ENSGALG00010001891.1)". The record is from RNAcentral. Lineage: Eukaryota; Metazoa; Chordata; Aves; Galliformes; Phasianidae.